ACUUGCUGGCAGGAUGGCCUUGGGCAGGUUACUCAGCCUCUCUGGAGCGCCUCCCCUCUUUUCCUCCACUUGAGGUAGUAGGUGUUUUGCAGUCAGUUAUUACGAGCACCAAGAAGUCCUGCCAGCCUCGGAAUGUUGCAGAGGAGAGAGCUGGGAGGAAUCUGGGGCUUCUGGGACAGUGCUGAGCCAGCCUGAAGUCCACCUCCUCUUUUCCGGUAGACAGAUGGGCAAAAGAUGUGAACUGGCACGUUACAGAAGAGGAUACUCAAACAUCCAGUAAACAUGUGAAUGACACUCAACUUCACUAUUUAUCAGGAAAAAGAAAAUUAAAACCACAAAGAGGAACAUCACAUAAUAUCAGACUGGUUUGUCUGAGGGAAGACCAAAGUGGGGACUGAGAAUUAAAAAUAUAUAUUGAAGAAAGUAAAGACUAUUUUGUGACCGAA
Molecule: long non-coding RNA, 446 nt
Filed under: Equus caballus (horse)
Lineage: Eukaryota; Metazoa; Chordata; Mammalia; Perissodactyla; Equidae
Description: lncRNA (ENSECAG00000047729.1)
Source: RNAcentral